This 1438-nucleotide ribosomal RNA is filed under the name uncultured organism. RNAcentral describes it as "16S ribosomal RNA". It matches the Rfam family "Bacterial small subunit ribosomal RNA". The record is from RNAcentral.
GGAUGAACGCUAGCUACAGGCUUAACACAUGCAAGUCGAGGGGCUGCAGGAUCUAGCAAUAGAUUGCUGGCGACCGGCGCACGGGUGAGUAACACGUAUCCAACCUGCCGAUAACUCGGGGAUAGCCUUUCGAAAGAAAGAUUAAUACCCGAUGGCAUAAUUAGACCGCAUGGUCUUAUUAUUAAAGAAUUUCGGUUAUCGAUGGGGAUGCGUUCCAUUAGGCAGUUGGUGAGGUAACGGCUCACCAAACCUUCGAUGGAUAGGGGUUCUGAGAGGAAGGUCCCCCACAUUGGAACUGAGACACGGUCCAAACUCCUACGGGAGGCAGCAGUGAGGAAUAUUGGUCAAUGGGCGUAGGCCUGAACCAGCCAAGUAGCGUGAAGGAUGACUGCCCUAUGGGUUGUAAACUUCUUUUAUAUGGGAAUAAAGUUUUCCACGUGUGGAAUUUUGUAUGUACCAUAUGAAUAAGGAUCGGCUAACUCCGUGCCAGCAGCCGCGGUAAUACGGAGGAUCCGAGCGUUAUCCGGAUUUAUUGGGUUUAAAGGGAGCGUAGGUGGACAGUUAAGUCAGUUGUGAAAGUUUGCGGCUCAACCGUAAAAUUGCAGUUGAUACUGGCUGUCUUGAGUACAGUAGAGGUGGGCGGAAUUCGUGGUGUAGCGGUGAAAUGCUUAGAUAUCACGAAGAACUCCGAUUGCGAAGGCAGCUCACUGGACUGCAACUGACACUGAUGCUCGAAAGUGUGGGUAUCAAACAGGAUUAGAUACCCUGGUAGUCCACACAGUAAACGAUGAAUACUCGCUGUUUGCGAUAUACAGUAAGCGGCCAAGCGAAAGCAUUAAGUAUUCCACCUGGGGAGUACGCCGGCAACGGUGAAACUCAAAGGAAUUGACGGGGGCCCGCACAGGCGGAGGAACAUGUGGUUUAAUUCGAUGAUACGCGAGGAACCUUACCCGGGCUUAAAUUGCAUUUGAAUAAUCUGGAAACAGGUUAGCCGUAAGGCAAAUGUGAAGGUGCUGCAUGGUUGUCGUCAGCUCGUGCCGUGAGGUGUCGGCUUAAGUGCCAUAACGAGCGCAACCCUUAUCUUUAGUUACUAACAGGUCAUGCUGAGGACUCUAGAGAGACUGCCGUCGUAAGAUGUGAGGAAGGUGGGGAUGACGUCAAAUCAGCACGGCCCUUACGUCCGGGGCUACACACGUGUUACAAUGGGGGGUACAGAAGGCAGCUACCUGGUGACAGGAUGCUAAUCCCAAAAGCCUCUCUCAGUUCGGAUCGAAGUCUGCAACCCGACUUCGUGAAGCUGGAUUCGCUAGUAAUCGCGCAUCAGCCAUGGCGCGGUGAAUACGUUCCCGGGCCUUGUACACACCGCCCGUCAAGCCAUGAAAGCCGGGGGUACCUGAAGUACGUAACCGCAAGGAGCGUCCUAGGGUAAAACUGGUAA